Long non-coding RNA from Hippocampus comes (tiger tail seahorse), 1679 nucleotides. RefSeq lists it as uncharacterized. Lineage: Eukaryota; Metazoa; Chordata; Actinopteri; Syngnathiformes; Syngnathidae. The record is from RefSeq and is a predicted model, not a curated record. The transcript is spliced from 3 exons.
GUUGUGACUUCGAGGGGCGGGGAGGGGAGAAACCCAAAAAGUUGCUAUUCGGUGCGAAAACGGCACUUGCUGAGGUGCGAGCUCCUCCUCGGCGAGGUGUGAGCCAGGUUCUCCUCUGGCGUCGAGCGGGGGGCUUUAUAUUUGAGGAGGGGGGCCUCCUCUCGGCUCCUCCUCGGCGAGCGAGUCCGACGCGAAAAAAAAAAAAAAAACAAAACAAAACGGGACGCGCGCACCGAAUGCGCUCACUGCGCUCGAGUCCCUCUUAAAUCAGAGCGGAAACUUGUUCGUUUUUUGUUAUUGUUUGCUUUGGUCCGGUUUUGUUUUGGGUUUUUUUUUCUAACGUGUGUGGGCAGGGGGGGUUUGGCAUUCCUCUUCGGUUUUGGUGCUUGUGCCUGUGCGGUGGCGCAAGUCAAGACGCGCCCAAAAACUUCUCAGACCAGUUGUUGUGGUGCGCGUCAAAAGCACCAAAUCCCAGGUGGUGUCGACUGUUGGGUGGAAUCCUCGCCUCUCCCGAACCAUCACUCUCCAAGAACUCUACCCUAAGCAAUGGCCGUACAUCAUCAUUAAAUCGCACUUCAAAAUCUUUCCACAUACAGGACAUAGCCGCUACUUUCGGUAUUUCCUCGAUUGAAUUUCUAUCCUCCAAAGUUGCACCGAGCUUGGAAGCUGCACACUGAGGCCAUCGUAGAGUGAAGGAUUCAUACUGGCGGUUCGCUUAUUUUUACACUUCCGAGAUAAAAUGCUGAACAUACACGCGCGCGACACGAAUCACCUUCCUUCUGGAGCGACGAGCGACUGUCUCAAAUGUGGGAGUUCCUGUUGACAGGAUAACUCUUCGGUUGUGGCCGGAGUCGCUCGCAGCGGGUCAGAGGCUCGCUUGGUUGUCAGACUGAAAUCGGGAAUAUGACCACACCAGAUGAGUCUCCCAACUUUUUCAACUCAAAUUAAAAAGUGACUAAAACACAUCAUAAAUCGUGCAUGACACAAAUCCAAUUUGGGGAGGUAAAAAAAUAAAGAGGGGGGGGGCAGGGAAUUUCACGCAGACAGCGAACAGCUUUAUAGAGAGGCUUCUUAUAUCAAAUUGGUCGGCUCAUCCGCAAAUGUUUGUGUUCAAUCCUAUCUUGGCAACAGAAUUUAUCAGCUAAUACUAAAGGUCGCGACCCGGGGCACACGGCUAGCAUUGUUAGCUUAGCUGGCCGAGAUUGCCAGCCUCAUCGUACUAACAUAGCAUUCGCAUUUUGGAGCUCAGAAAGGCAUCAUGUGCAUUUGGCAUUUUAUGGAGAACGCAAGUAUCGGCGCGUCCGCUGAUUUUUGAGGGGUUCGAAGCCCACACGGUUUGGAAAAUUAGUCAUCCAUAAAGUCGUAGGCAGAGAGAAAAGUUGCCAUCGGGAGCGCGGAGCCAGCUGCAUUCGCUUUAGCUGGCAAUAAUAAUUCCUCGUGCGAAAAACGGAAUAUUGACGGUUCUGGCCAAACCGCUGCAAAGCGGGACUCAAUGAAGCAUACGAGUGCAUUUCUUACCUUGGAGCUGAGUCAGGUGCACCUGCCGAUUUUUGACAGAUAUCACAGACUGCCGGCAGCAGAGCUUUAUCCGGGAUCUGCUUUUAUUGGGGUUACUUUGAGGCUGUGAGAAUGAAACCAAAACAUGAAUCGACUGUUACCGACAUGAACGAGCAAACAAA